RNAcentral lists this long non-coding RNA (352 nucleotides) under Brassica napus (rape). Its description in RNAcentral is "long non-coding RNA (BNAP_LNC002228)". The record is from RNAcentral. Lineage: Eukaryota; Viridiplantae; Streptophyta; Magnoliopsida; Brassicales; Brassicaceae.
UUUUUUUUUUUGGUUUAGAAAGCUAAAGUUAAAAAAAAAAGUUUUUAAAGGGUAUUAUUUUGUUAGUUCGUUUUAGGCGCCAUAAGACCUUGGACCGGCACUGCAUCUAUCUAAUGAAUUAAAUUGAAAACAUGAAGUUUUUACAGAAGGCGGCGAAAAACAUAUUAUGUCCUGAAUCUAUGAUUUUUCUCUUUAUUUACCAGUUAUGUUUAUGGUUUUUCUCUUGAUCCAAAUAUUUUUUUUUCUUUUUAUUGUUUUUGCUUUUUCGGUAUGUGAGAGUCUAUAUGCUCAAAAAAUCAUGUAAAAUAUAAUUAAUUUCAAAAAUAGACUUUUUAAAAUUUAACUAUUUCCA